Molecule: ribosomal RNA, 108 nt
Filed under: Photobacterium chitinilyticum
Lineage: Bacteria; Pseudomonadati; Pseudomonadota; Gammaproteobacteria; Vibrionales; Vibrionaceae
Source: RNAcentral
CCAUAGCAUUAUGGACCCACCUGAUCCCAUGCCGAACUCAGCAGUGAAACGUAAUAGCGCCGAUGGUAGUGUGGGGUCUCCCCAUGUGAGAGUAGGACAUCGCCAGGC